UCUACCUUUUAUCUUUCACAAUUUCAAGGCCUUCACAGAAUUUGUAUUCGUAUUUGCCUUUAGACCUGGUAAGUGUUGCCAAUUAGUUUUAUUUAGAAUGCUUUCGAGGUCCUUAUUGAGCCAUGGUUGAAUUAGUUUUAGGUGAAAUCAGAGCCAUGUAUUCAUAUCUUGAGCUACCCAUUGUCAGCUUUUAAAGGAAGUAGUGUUAUUCUUUUUAUCUUAUACAUUUUUUUAACAAAAUUUGUGUAUACGCGUCAGUGUGUGUUCCCAUUUCUUCAAAUUGGUCGGAAUUUGGCUCAAUCUUCAAGCGAAGUGUAAAAUUAAGCAAAAUAUUAGGACAUAUAUAUGCGUAUUAUCUAUUUGUAUGCAUAUAUGUAUAGGGGUAUGGUCGAAGAGAAUGGGUUUGGAGGACCUUAAAUUUGCCUUUAUUCCUGUGGGCUCAAGUUGGUGGGAAUGCCCCAGUCGUUGAAUCAUGUGAUCUUGGUUUUCUUGCCUAAUGUAUUUUGUUGUCUAUGGAAAAAUUUAGAAUUGUCACCACCGAUUUUUGUGUAAACUGUAAAAAUUUUUGUGGGUUUCGAGAUAUCUUUGUCUGUAUUGGAUGGGUUUUUCCUUGCUUAUAUUAAAGGCAAAUAGUCACCGAAGAAUCGUGAAAUUUUCCUUAUUUUCAACCACAAAAAGGGAAGAAGGUGUAGCAAAUGGAUGAGUUUCAAUUAAUUUGGCGCUCACAUUUUGUUAAUGAUUUUGAUAAAGAUGACUUUGAGGCCUCAUUUAAUGUUCUUAAGAUUACAGAUGUCAUCUCAUUGAAAAUGAGGAAGUCGUGACCAUGGCACAUGGGUUUAGUAAGUAGGCAAUGGUUGUUGCUUUUUACAUAUUUUUGGUUUGAAAUUAGAGCUAUUAGGCUAUCAUUUGGUGUAUUCUUGUAUUAUCUCUUCAUUUAUUAUUAUUAUUAUUAUUUUGGGGUAAUUUCGUAUAACUGCUUCUUUGAUGAUCUACAGUAAAUUAUUACAAUUACCUGCAAUUUUGAACAAAGAUUAACGUUCAAGAACCAUGGAUCUUGACUAUGGGAGUUGCUGGGGCACUUCAAAGAUUUUUAGUUCAUAGUUCUUGUUAUUUAUUUACAACAAUUAUGGGUCCAACUUGCCAUUAUAUGCAGUGUUUGUUAGUAAAGUGUACUUUACUUUAAAGUUUCCCUUGUACGUUCUUAUUUGGGCU
RNAcentral lists this long non-coding RNA (1212 nucleotides) under Olea europaea (common olive). RNAcentral's name for it is "long non-coding RNA (OEUR_LNC004669)". Lineage: Eukaryota; Viridiplantae; Streptophyta; Magnoliopsida; Lamiales; Oleaceae. The record is from RNAcentral.